CCUACGGGUGGCAGCAGUGAGGAAUAUUGGUCAAUGGCCGAGAGGCUGAACCAGCCAAGUCGCGUGAGGGAUGACGGCCCUACGGGUUGUAAACCUCUUUUGUCGGGGAGCAAAGAGAGUCACGUGUGGCUCAUUGAGAGUACCCGAAGAAAAAGCAUCGGCUAACUCCGGGCCAGCAGCCGCGGUAAUACGGAGGAUGCGAGUGUUAUCCGGAUGUAUUGGGUUUAAAGGGUGAGGAGGAGGAGGUGAAAGUCAGUGGUCAAGUGUCGGGGCUCAACCCCGUACUGCCGUUGAAACUGCAUCCCUUGAGUGCGCGAGAGGUAUGCGGAAUGCGUGGUGUAGCGGUGAAAUGCAUAGAUAUCACGCAGAACUCCGAUUGCGAAGGCAGCAUACCGGCGCGCAACUGACGCUCAUGCACGAAAGCGUGGGUAUCGAACAGGAUUAGAUACCCCUGUAGUC
RNAcentral lists this ribosomal RNA (459 nucleotides) under uncultured bacterium. Its description in RNAcentral is "partial 16S ribosomal RNA". It matches the Rfam family "Bacterial small subunit ribosomal RNA", at positions 338 to 795 of the family's 1533-position model. The record is from RNAcentral.